AUGGUGGGCAAAAUACCUAACGUCACCUGGCUCAAAGGCUCCUAUGUGGAGACCAUAAAGGGGUGGCAAUCGGGGUGGUUCUACAUCACCGAGCCGCGUGACACCAACUGGGUGGCGGCCCCCGAAUUUCGAUCCGGAAUCCCCAUGCGACUCACCUCCUGGAAAGAGAAGGGCCUGUCCUGGGGUUCCCCGAUAGAGCUGACCGGACUCCAGACCUGCAUCAAGAACAUGAUGAGCAAGAAAAUCAAGCUCGUUAACGUGGUCCAGGUCAUGCUCUUCCGUCGAAUUCUCCCGUGUCAACAACGGGUAUUCAAUUUGUGGGAGUUUGACCCGGCCGAGCACCAGACGCUGCGAGAGCUCUUCGACACGACACACAAGGACGUCUGGAAGGUGCUGUUCAAGGGUGCUGAGGUACCUCCUCCCCUUACCGAGGACCGCGGACUCAGCGCAAAGCGCCACGCCAAUCCGGUAAGUUUUUGUAUCUCACAGUGUUGGGGAUAUUACCACUAG
RNAcentral lists this ribosomal RNA (510 nucleotides) under Triticum aestivum (bread wheat). RNAcentral describes it as "partial small subunit ribosomal RNA". Lineage: Eukaryota; Viridiplantae; Streptophyta; Magnoliopsida; Poales; Poaceae. The record is from RNAcentral.